AGAUUCGACAAUUAUAUUGACAGAGGACUUGAAACUGACCUAUGACUUCACUGCGGAAGGAUUGUUUUUCAAUGUUGACAGCCGAAUUGCGACACGUCAUAGGCUGGCGUAACGUGUCACGUCACCUUAUCAGUUCCACGUUAACCUGCAGCGCGUUUAUGAAGGACUCAGGCCGCUUUUUCUCACAGUUCGCAUUGGCCACGCGUCGAGAUACAAUUUUUUCAACGUUUGGACUAUCAUGCGGACGGCCGGAAUUGUGAUUCGUCAUACGCUGGUGUAACACCCUCGUCACCUUAUCAGUUCCACGUUAACCUCAAACCUGUAGCGCGGUUAUGAAGGACUCAGAUCGCCUCAGUUCGCAUUGACCACGCGUCGAGAU
Molecule: long non-coding RNA, 379 nt
Organism: Photinus pyralis (common eastern firefly)
Lineage: Eukaryota; Metazoa; Arthropoda; Insecta; Coleoptera; Lampyridae
Exons: 3
Source: RefSeq, a predicted model, not a curated record